GAUGGCGGCCAUAGACGCCGGGGAAAUACCCGGUCCCAUACCGAACCCGGAAGUCAAGACCGGUGUCGUUGGAGGAACUGUGCGGUGCGCGAGCCCGUGACAAGCCUCCAAGCUGCCACAU
RNAcentral lists this ribosomal RNA (121 nucleotides) under Candidatus Thorarchaeota archaeon. Lineage: Archaea; Promethearchaeati; Candidatus Thorarchaeota. The record is from RNAcentral.